AACAACUUUAAACAAUCAAUUGCAUCAAUUAACAUCGAGUCGAAGGAUUUCUAAUUUUUGGGAUUUCAUACCUUUUCUUACUUUGAUUUCUUGAUUUCUGACUUUGAUGCUUCUGAUUUGUUGUUUGUGGUUGCUGGGCUUUGAUUAUGAGUGUAUGGGCAAGAGAAAUUCGUUGGUAAGAGGUUGGGAGAGUAUAGGAUGAGAC
Molecule: long non-coding RNA, 205 nt
Filed under: Panax ginseng (ginseng)
Lineage: Eukaryota; Viridiplantae; Streptophyta; Magnoliopsida; Apiales; Araliaceae
Description: long non-coding RNA (PGIN_LNC013833)
Source: RNAcentral